This 26-nucleotide non-coding RNA is filed under the name Mus musculus (house mouse). Lineage: Eukaryota; Metazoa; Chordata; Mammalia; Rodentia; Muridae. The record is from RNAcentral.
UACCUGUCUCUGGAUACCAUGUGUGU